GACGAACGCUGGCGGCGUGCUUAACACAUGCAAGUCGAACGGAAAGGCCCUGCUUUUGUGGGGUGCUCGAGUGGCGAACGGGUGAGUAACACGUGAGUAACCUGCCCUUGACUUUGGGAUAACUUCGGGAAACUGGGGCUAAUACCGGAUAGGAGCUCCUGCUGCAUGGUGGGGGUUGGAAAGUUUCGGCGGUUGGGGAUGGACUCGCGGCUUAUCAGCUUGUUGGUGGGGUAGUGGCUUACCAAGGCUUUGACGGGUAGCCGGCCUGAGAGGGUGACCGGCCACAUUGGGACUGAGAUACGGCCCAGACUCCUACGGGAGGCAGCAGUGGGGAAUAUUGCACAAUGGGCGGAGGCCUGAUGCAGCAACGCCGCGUGCGGGAUGACGGCCUUCGGGUUGUAAACCGCUUUCGCCUGUGACGAAGCGUGAGUGACGGUAAUGGGUAAAGAAGCACCGGCUAACUACGUG
Molecule: ribosomal RNA, 468 nt
Filed under: uncultured bacterium
Lineage: Bacteria
Description: partial 16S ribosomal RNA
Rfam family: Bacterial small subunit ribosomal RNA
Source: RNAcentral